RNAcentral lists this non-coding RNA (117 nucleotides) under Nomascus leucogenys (northern white-cheeked gibbon). Lineage: Eukaryota; Metazoa; Chordata; Mammalia; Primates; Hylobatidae. The record is from Rfam by way of RNAcentral.
GCCGGGCAUGGUGGUUCAUGCCUGUAAUCCCAGCAUUUUGGGAGGCCGAGGCAGGUGGAUCACUUGAGGCCAGGAGUUCAAGACCAGCCUGGCCAACAUGGUGAAACCCUGUCUCUA